This is a non-coding RNA of Phrynosoma platyrhinos (Desert horned lizard), 72 nucleotides long. NCBI's taxonomy places the organism in Eukaryota, Metazoa, Chordata, Lepidosauria, Squamata, Phrynosomatidae. The record is from the annotation of a GenBank genome assembly.
GACAGCAUGGCUCAGUGGUUUGAGUAUUGAGUUAUGACUCUAGAGACCAGGAUUCGAUUCCCAGCUUGGUCA